GCUUGAGUAUUAUUUUUGCUAGUGGUGCCAUGUAGUGUUUGAGCUGAACUGAAAUGCCGAAGUGGUAGAGGUGUAGUGGGAAGUGUGGAGAGAAAAUUAAGGGAUUUGGAUAGGAGUGGUUAGACGGUUUUAGGAGAGAUUUGAGGGAUUUUGGGAAAAUGUGGUGCAGAAAUCUUCAUUUUUGUUAUUUUGGUUUGUUUUUAUUUUCUUUUUUCUUUCAAAUUCCCAAGGUUCUCUUUUCUUCUGCUGUUCUCCUUCUCCAGCUUUGCCGAACCUCUGCCAAAAUUUUCUUUUUCUUUUUCUUUUCCAUUCUUGUCGAUUUUUGGCCAUUGGUUUAUUCCCUUUCUUGUUUCUGUUGCCAAUAGUUGCCUCUUUUC
RNAcentral lists this long non-coding RNA (377 nucleotides) under Gossypium raimondii (Peruvian cotton). RNAcentral's name for it is "long non-coding RNA (GRAI_LNC006304)". The record is from RNAcentral. Lineage: Eukaryota; Viridiplantae; Streptophyta; Magnoliopsida; Malvales; Malvaceae.